This is a long non-coding RNA of Neltuma alba, 628 nucleotides long. RefSeq lists it as uncharacterized. The record is from RefSeq and is a predicted model, not a curated record. Lineage: Eukaryota; Viridiplantae; Streptophyta; Magnoliopsida; Fabales; Fabaceae. The transcript is spliced from 2 exons.
UGACGGUACUGAAGUGAAGACGGAGAAGGCGAAGGAAUUGCUGCAGCCUGCAAGUCACCUCUGAGGAAUCGCAAUCCCUGUCACACCAACUUCCUCCUCUCACGCCUCACCCAACAUUCUGUUUAUGCCGGCAGUUCAUCCUCGGAGGCAUCCCAGUGGAUCAAGUCGAACCCAGUCUCGUUGUUUGUACCUUCAAAGUCCCUCCCCGUCUCACUGAAAAGUUGCCGAUAUAAUGGGGAAAUCAUUCAGAAUAAUGAGUAAUCUCCUAAUCCUUAAUGAAUUUUGGCUGUAGGUACAAGUCUCUUAUGGGACAGGAGUUACUGCUUUUGCAAUUUUAUUUUAUUUUUUGGGUUCCCUGAAAUUAUUUUAUGAAAAUAUUUGAGAAUCUGAAACAUAUUGGGCUCGCUUCUACAGGACAGAACUGGGAAGUUGGCUAACGCCUAACGGUGCAAUAGCUAACCCUGUAGAUGAACUUGGAGGUGCCGUAGCUCAUUUGGAAGGUCUCCCCUUGGAUGUUUCUGUUGACAUGUCCAUUUCUUAUCUCUCAAAUGCCCAUGUUAAUGCAAGAAUUUGCUGGAAACUUACUUUUGGUAUAUGUGCCUUUCAAUUUGAGGUCAGGUUUUACUCU